This 441-nucleotide ribosomal RNA is filed under the name Bacillus sp. (in: firmicutes). Its description in RNAcentral is "bacterial SSU rRNA". It matches the Rfam family "Bacterial small subunit ribosomal RNA", at positions 24 to 456 of the family's 1533-position model. The record is from RNAcentral. Lineage: Bacteria; Bacillati; Bacillota; Bacilli; Caryophanales; Bacillaceae.
UCAGGACGAACGCUGGCGGCGUGCCUAAUACAGCAAGUCGAGCGAAUCGAAGGGAGCUUGCUCCCUGAGAUUAGCGGCGGACGGGUGAGUAACACGUGGGCAACCUGCCUAUAAGACUGGGAUAACUUCGGGAAACCGGAGCUAAUACCGGAUACGUUCUUUUCUCGCAUGAGAGAAGAUGGAAAGACGGUUUACGCUGUCACUUAUAGAUGGGCCCGCGGCGCAUUAGCUAGUUGGUGAGGUAAUGGCUCACCAAGGCGACGAUGCGUAGCCGACCUGAGAGGGUGAUCGGCCACACUGGGACUGAGACACGGCCCAGACUCCUACGGGAGGCAGCAGUAGGGAAUCUUCCGCAAUGGACGAAAGUCUGACGGAGCAACGCCGCGUGAACGAAGAAGGCCUUCGGGUCGUAAAGUUCUGUUGUUAGGGAAGAACAAGUAC